UGUAACAUGCAUAGGAUCAGAAAUAACCCAA
Molecule: non-coding RNA, 31 nt
Filed under: Mus musculus (house mouse)
Lineage: Eukaryota; Metazoa; Chordata; Mammalia; Rodentia; Muridae
Source: RNAcentral